Molecule: ribosomal RNA, 253 nt
Filed under: uncultured prokaryote
Description: partial 16S ribosomal RNA
Rfam family: Bacterial small subunit ribosomal RNA
Source: RNAcentral
ACAGAGGGGGCAAGCGUUGUUCGGAAUUACUGGGCGUAAAGGGCGCGUAGGCGGCCUUCUAAGUCGAACGUGAAAUCCCCGGGCUCAACCCGGGAACUGCGUCCGAUACUGGAAGGCUUGAAUCCGGGAGAGGUGAGUGGAAUUCCCAGUGUAGCGGUGAAAUGCGUAGAUAUUGGGAGGAACACCAGUGGCGAAGGCGGCUCACUGGACCGGUUCUGACGCUGAUGCGCGAAAGCGUGGGGAGCAAACGGGA